RNAcentral lists this ribosomal RNA (571 nucleotides) under Capnodiales sp. TR183. RNAcentral describes it as "eukaryotic LSU rRNA". The stretch from base 202 to 355 matches the Rfam family "5.8S ribosomal RNA". Lineage: Eukaryota; Fungi; Ascomycota; Dothideomycetes; Capnodiales. The record is from RNAcentral. RNAcentral also lists the same sequence under 1 other name.
GGAAGUAAAAGUCGUAACAAGGUCUCCGUAGGUGAACCUGCGGAGGGAUCAUUACCGAGCGAGGGCCUCCGGGUCCGACCUCCAACCCCAUGUUAUUCGACCCUGUUGCCUCGGGGGCGACCCGGCCUUCGGGCGUCGGGGCCCCCGGUGGACCACUCAACUCUGCAUCAUUGCGUCCGAGUCACAUAUUGAAUCAAUCAAAACUUUCAACAACGGAUCUCUUGGUUCUGGCAUCGAUGAAGAACGCAGCGAAAUGCGAUAAGUAAUGUGAAUUGCAGAAUUCAGUGAAUCAUCGAAUCUUUGAACGCACAUUGCGCCCCUUGGUAUUCCGAGGGGCAUGCCUGUUCGAGCGUCAUUACACCACUCAAGCCUGGCUUGGUAUUGGGCGUCCGCGGUCCCACGGCCGCGCGCCCUAAUGUCUUCGGCUGAGCCGUCCGUCUCAAAGCGUUGUGGUCAUACAGUUCGCUUGCGAGGCCGGGCCGGCUUGUCGCCGUUAAACCCCCCAUUCAAAGGUUGACCUCGGAUCAGGUAGGGAUACCCGCUGAACUUAAGCAUAUCAAUAAGCGGAGGA